Molecule: ribosomal RNA, 406 nt
Filed under: uncultured bacterium
Lineage: Bacteria
Description: bacterial SSU rRNA
Rfam family: Bacterial small subunit ribosomal RNA
Source: RNAcentral
GGCUCAGAACUAACGCUGGCGGCGUGGCUUAGGCAUGCAAGUCGAACGGCAAAGUCCGCAAGGACGAGUAAGUGGCGAAAGGGUGCGUAAUACUCGGGCAAUCUGCCUCUGGGACGAGGAUAGCCGCGGGAAACUGCGGGCAAUACUGGAUAGGCUCACGAGGGCUGCGGCCCUUGGGAGUAAUCGGUGGGGAUCCGCAAGGACCUUCCGCCCAGAGAGGAGCUCGAGGCCUAUCAGGUAGUUGGCGGGGUAACGGCCCACCAAGCCUACGACGGGUACCCGGACUGAGAGGUCGGCCGGGCACACUGGCACUGAGACACUGGCCAGACUCCUACGGGAGGCUGCAGUCGAGAAUCUUCCGCAAUGGGGGGCAACCCUGACGGAGCGACGCCGCGUGGAGGAAGAA